This 441-nucleotide ribosomal RNA is filed under the name uncultured bacterium. Its description in RNAcentral is "bacterial SSU rRNA". It matches the Rfam family "Bacterial small subunit ribosomal RNA", at positions 338 to 795 of the family's 1533-position model. The record is from RNAcentral.
CCUACGGGUGGCAGCAGUGGGGAAUAUUGGACAAUGGGCGAAAGCCUGAUCCAGCUAUGUCGCGUGAAUGAUGAAGGUCUUAUGGAUUGUAAAGUUCUUUCAGUAGGGAUGAUAAUGACAGUACCUACAUAAGAAGCCCCGGCUAACUUCGUGCCAGCAGCCGCGGUAAUACGAAGGGGGCUAGCGUUAUUCGGAAUGAUUGGGCGUAAAGGACGCGUAGGCGGUUUGGUAAGUCUUUAGUGAAAUCCCCAGGCUUAACUUGGGAAUUGCUUGAGAUACUGCUAGACUAGAGUAUGGGAGAGGCAAGUGGAAUCUUUGGUGUAGAGGUGAAAUUCUUAGAUAUCAGAGAGAACGUCGGUGGCGAAAGCGACUUGCUAGAACAUAACUGACGCUGAGGCGUGAAAGCGUGGGGAGCAAACCGGAUUAGAUACCCUUGUAGUC